RNAcentral lists this long non-coding RNA (274 nucleotides) under Lathyrus oleraceus (garden pea). RNAcentral's name for it is "Pisum sativum (pea) long non-coding RNA (PSAT_LNC040970)". Lineage: Eukaryota; Viridiplantae; Streptophyta; Magnoliopsida; Fabales; Fabaceae. The record is from RNAcentral.
UUUUAGGCAAAGUAUCUCUUGACUGCAUCUGAAUUCACAGGACGAGUGAAAUCCUCCCCAUCCAUUGUUGUAAGCAUCAAAGCACCGCCUGAAAAGGCUCUCUUAACAACAUAUGGACCCUCGUAGUUUGGAGUCCACUUGCCCCUGGAAUCGGGCGCGAAAGACAAAACUUUCUUGAGCACGAGGUCACCUUCUCGGAACACACGAGGCUUGACCUUCUUGUCGAAUGCUUUCUUCAUUCUCUGCUGAUAUAACUGACCAUGACACAUGGCAG